Helianthus annuus (common sunflower) is the source of this 1518-nucleotide long non-coding RNA. RefSeq lists it as uncharacterized. The record is from RefSeq and is a predicted model, not a curated record. The transcript has 10 exons. Lineage: Eukaryota; Viridiplantae; Streptophyta; Magnoliopsida; Asterales; Asteraceae.
UCUUAUUCUUCACCCCAUUUCUCCGACUCUUGCUGCCAAGGUCUUGCAACCCCUCCGACCAAUCCCCACAUCUUGCCGCCGUCACCACCACUUCAACAUUUUUACAUUGUCACCAUCGCAACCCCCUUGCCGCCGUUACCACCGCAACCACCUCCGCUGCCGCCACCGCCACCACUCACCCCAUUCCUGUCGUGUCACCACCUCCGUCGCUAUUUCAGGCGAUUCAUAGAACAUUCUUUGUUUGAUUCAUCCAUCAUAGACGUUGUGAGUCCUAGAUUUUAGUUAUAUGAUGAAAUCAAGAAGAUGGGUAUUUGGGGGUUCUAAUGAAUUUUGCUAUAAUAAUCCAAAUUAUAGAAAUUGUGAAAUAUACGGUGUUUAUCUACUAAAGAUGAGUAUUUGUUACAUGGAAGGAUAACACUUGAGUGCUUGUGGUAAAAAUGGCAAGCUCUUUAAAAAUGAAGGAUUUAUUGGUCCGAUGCCCUGACAGUAGUUGUCUUUCAGAAGGGUUGUGAACAUAUGUGAGAUUGGCUGCUGAGUCUAAAAGUAGAAGGUUGCUAGCUACGUAAAAUGGCUAGAAGAUGAAUUAGAACUUAAUGCUUUUCAUGAACCUAGAAGUUGUAGAGGUGGAAAUGAGAAAACAGUUGGAAGUCAAAGAACACCCCUUUUCGCAUUCUUCCAAUACUAAGGUAGGUAACUGCUACUAUCAUUGUUAAAAAAGAGUUAAUACGAGGAUCAUUUUACUCACAUGAUGAUUGUGGAAGAUGUUCACGAACGAAGUUUUGAAUAUUUAUUGCAAACGUUUAUACCAUUGAUCCCGUGGUGAAUCUUUGACACUUUGGAGCUUUAGACAUAUACUAAGUGAAGACAACCGAUGUGCCUUCUUAAACGUGAACACAAUCAGUGGUCAAAUGUGUAGAGAAAUGAGAGCAGAAGUUGAAGAACACAUUAGGACUAUGGUGCGUUAUCAUGAUGAUAAAGAAUUCAUCCUUGUACCUUAUUGUGAUGAUGGACAUUGGACUUUGUUCAUUAUUGCCGUAAAAGUACGACGGGUAUAUAUUUUAGAUCAACUAUUCAAAGAGGGCAACAAGAAUCCUAGACACUAUCGUCUUACAAGUGUGAUUUAAAGCGCCUUGCUGCCAAUAAAACCCACAUUUGAUAUGGUUAAUUGCAAUCAACAAGUUGAGACAUGGGAAUGCGGCUAUAUACUUCUUCAAUCUAUGUUCAACUUUGUCAAUGUGUAUCAAAAGCAAUUUCCCAAAAUAUGGAACGACACGAAAGAGGUUACGGAUGAAGAUAUAGAAAAGACGUUGAAGGAAUUGAUGCCAAUUUUAUUUGACGGGUUGGGUAUUCCUUAGUUUAAAUAUAGUUUGUUUAUGGUGUUAAAUAGAUUAAGUAGUUAAUUGUUAUUUUUACCAAUUAAUAUUGUAGACUUUCGGGUUAAAUGUGUAUUGGUUCACUUUUUACUUGUCCGGAUUUGAUUACGUUGAAUAUAUAAAAGGAUUGAUUGGAUUUGACGUC